UGGGGAAUUUUGGACAAUGGGCGAAAGCCUGAUCCAGCCAUGCCGCGUGCAGGAUGAAGGCCUUCGGGUUGUAAACUGCUUUUGUACGGAACGAAAAGGUCUGCCCUAAUACGGCGGGCUCAUGACGGUACCGUAAGAAUAAGCACCGGCUAACUACGUGCCAGCAGCCGCGGUAAUACGUAGGGUGCAAGCGUUAAUCGGAAUUACUGGGCGUAAAGCGUGCGCAGGCGGUUAUGUAAGACAGAUGUGAAAUCCCCGGGCUCAACCUGGGAACUGCAUUAGUGACUGCAUAGCUGGAGUACGGCAGAGGGGGAUGGAAUUCCGCGUGUAGCAGUGAAAUGCGUAGAUAUGCGGAGGAACACCGAUGGCGAAGGCAAUCCCCUGGGCCUGUACUGACGCUCAUGCACGAAAGCGUGGGGAGCAAACAGG
RNAcentral lists this ribosomal RNA (429 nucleotides) under Bacillota bacterium. RNAcentral's name for it is "Firmicutes bacterium partial 16S ribosomal RNA". It matches the Rfam family "Bacterial small subunit ribosomal RNA", at positions 355 to 776 of the family's 1533-position model. The record is from RNAcentral. Lineage: Bacteria; Bacillati; Bacillota.